Molecule: small nucleolar RNA, 138 nt
Filed under: Ornithorhynchus anatinus (platypus)
Lineage: Eukaryota; Metazoa; Chordata; Mammalia; Monotremata; Ornithorhynchidae
Source: RNAcentral
CCCCUCUCAGGAUGGCACCUGGAGAGCUUUCAGUCCUCUACCAGCCUCGGCUAAGGGAGGGAGAGUCAAGCAGAGGCUUGUCCAUUCCAUUCCUAGCUUGGGCAGUGACUAGCGAGUGGAAGGCGAUCUGUUACAAGU